AGUGAACGCUGGCGGCAGGCCUAACACAUGCAAGUCGAACGGCAGCACGGUUGGUGGUACCUGGUGGGGGUGGCCGGACGGGGGCGGAUUAGAUCGAAACCGGACCUUACUUUUUGGUUAGCGCUGCGAUAGCGGGACUAAUACUACAAACGCAUUACGCCUGAAGGUGAGAGCCCGGCGUCUUUCGCCCUUGCGCGUUUGCAUGUGCCGAUGGCGGAUUAGCUAGUUGGCGGGGUAAAGGCCCACCAAGGCGACGAUCAGUAGCUGGUCUGAGAGGACGACCAGCCACACUGGAACUGAGACACGGCCCAGACUCCUACGGGAGGCAGCAGUGGGGAAUUUUGGACAAUGGGCGCAAGCCUGAUCCAGCCAUGCCGCGUGGGUGAAGAAGGCCUUCGGGUUGUAAAGCACUUUUGUCCGGAAAGAAAAGCUGCACGUUAAUACCGUCCUGGGAUGACGGUACCCAAAGAAUAAGCACCGGCUAACUACGUG
Molecule: ribosomal RNA, 492 nt
Filed under: uncultured bacterium
Lineage: Bacteria
Description: partial 16S ribosomal RNA
Rfam family: Bacterial small subunit ribosomal RNA
Source: RNAcentral